GCAGUCGAGCGGAAGGCCACUUCGGUGGUACUCGAGCGGCGAACGGGUGAGUAACACGUGAGUAAUCUGCCCCUGGCUUUGGGAUAGCCACCGGAAACGGUGAUUAAUACCGGAUAUGACAUGGACUCGCAUGGGUUUGUGUGGAAAGUUUUUCGGCCAGGGAUGUGCUCGCGGCCUAUCAGCUUGAUGGUGAGGUAAUGGCUCACCAUGGCUUCGACGGGUAGCCGGCCUGAGAGGGUGACCGGUCACACUGGGACUGAGACACGGCCCAGACUCCUACGGGAGGCAGCAGUGGGGAAUAUUGGACAAUGGGCGGAAGCCUGAUCCAGCAACGCCGCGUGAGGGAUGACGGCCUUCGGGUUGUAAACCUCUUUCAGUACCGACGAAGCGAAAGUGACGGUAGGUACAGAAGAAGCACCGGCCAACUACGUGCCAGCAGCC
RNAcentral lists this ribosomal RNA (441 nucleotides) under uncultured Nocardioides sp. RNAcentral describes it as "bacterial SSU rRNA". It matches the Rfam family "Bacterial small subunit ribosomal RNA", at positions 57 to 516 of the family's 1533-position model. The record is from RNAcentral. Lineage: Bacteria; Bacillati; Actinomycetota; Actinomycetes; Propionibacteriales; Nocardioidaceae.